CGCUGGCGGCGUGCUUAACACAUGCAAGUCGAACGAUGAAGCUGGAGCUUGCUCCGGUGGAUUAGUGGCGAACGGGUGAGUAACACGUGAGCAAUCUGCCCUUGACUCUGGGAUAACUGCGGGAAACUGUAGCUAAUACCGGAUAUUUUCCCUGGUGGGCAUCCACUGGGGAAGAAAGAAUUUCGGUCAAGGAUGAGCUCGCGGCCUAUCAGCUAGUUGGUGAGGUAAUGGCUCACCAAGGCGACGACGGGUAGCCGGCCUGAGAGGGUGACCGGCCACACUGGAACUGAGACACGGUCCGGACUCCUACGGGAGGCAGCAGGUGGGGAAUAUUGGACAAUGGGGGAAACCCUGAUCCAGCCAUGCCGCGUGUGUGAAGAAGGCCUUUUGGUUGUAAAGCUCUUUUGUCAGGGAAGAAACACCGGCUCUAACACAGUCCGGGAAUGACGGUACCUGAAGAAUAAGCACCGGCUAACUACGUG
RNAcentral lists this ribosomal RNA (482 nucleotides) under uncultured bacterium. RNAcentral describes it as "bacterial SSU rRNA". It matches the Rfam family "Bacterial small subunit ribosomal RNA", at positions 34 to 507 of the family's 1533-position model. The record is from RNAcentral.